RNAcentral lists this ribosomal RNA (492 nucleotides) under uncultured bacterium. RNAcentral describes it as "partial 16S ribosomal RNA". It matches the Rfam family "Bacterial small subunit ribosomal RNA", at positions 29 to 507 of the family's 1533-position model. The record is from RNAcentral.
AGUGAACGCUGGCGGUAGGCCUAACACAUGCAAGUCGAACGGCAGCACAGUAAGAGCUUGCUCUUACGGGUGGCGAGUGGCGGACGGGUGAGGAAUACAUCGGAAUCUACUUUUUCGUGGGGGAUAACGUAGGGAAACUUACGCUAAUACCGCAUACGACCUACGGGUGAAAGCAGGGGAUCUUCGGACCUUGCGCGAUUGAAUGAGCCGAUGUCGGAUUAGCUAGUUGGCGGGGUAAAGGCCCACCAAGGCGACGAUCCGUAGCUGGUCUGAGAGGAUGAUCAGCCACACUGGAACUGAGACACGGUCCAGACUCCUACGGGAGGCAGCAGUGGGGAAUAUUGGACAAUGGGCGCAAGCCUGAUCCAGCCAUACCGCGUGGGUGAAGAAGGCCUUCGGGUUGUAAAGCUCUUUUGUUGGGAAGGAAAAGCAGCAGGUUAAUACCCCGCUGUUCUGACGGUACCCAAAGAAUAAGCACCGGCUAACUUCGUG